CUGCCGUUUCCAGCUACAAUACUCAUUUACAACAUUUCUGAUAAAUGUUAUGUUAUUUUAAAUUUGAUGUUAUCUUUAAAAAACAAGGACAUUUCUAAGUGAACGUUGGCUAAAAGUACAGAUGGCAAAGGGAGAUUUGCCACUCGCCACCUGAUCCUCACACGGCACCCCGAUCUCUUUCCGUGAAAUCUCAGUUUCUUUCUCCAGCGAAUGACGGGGAUGAGGGCCUGUUCGGCAGUUGAGUACAUCCUUACCGUCAAAAAUAAUGUGUCCAAUUUGAGUUCAGAGAAGUCAAAGAGAAACUGAAGACAGAAGGAAUAGAACACAAGUGGAGCCUUGUUUCAGGUUGUCAGUGGGCGGAGCCGGGAGGGUCGUCAGCGAAUAAAUCGAUAAAUGCACCUCUUCCCCAUUCAUUGAGGAGACCCUCUCCAUGCAGACACAAAUUUUGGUUCUGGCAAUGUUGUGGCAAUGUUGUGGCAAUGUUGUGGCAAUGUUGCAAUUGUUUGCGUUGGCACCUUUCAACACCCCUCAUUAUCACAUUUAUGCAUGCAACC
Oncorhynchus keta (chum salmon) is the source of this 554-nucleotide long non-coding RNA. RefSeq lists it as uncharacterized. The record is from RefSeq and is a predicted model, not a curated record. NCBI's taxonomy places the organism in Eukaryota, Metazoa, Chordata, Actinopteri, Salmoniformes, Salmonidae. The transcript is spliced from 3 exons.